GGUCGUGGCCCUCACCGUCGCCUUCCCUCCUCUGUGGCCUGCCUGUGUCGUGGUCGUCGGGACUACUUGCCGUGGACGCGGUGGUUGACAUCUACGGCUAGCCGUGGAUUAGCACCUCGCUGCCUCCACAAAGUAUGGAUGCACCAUCUUCUGCUGCGGAGCGUGUGCUACUCCAGAGUAAUUUGCAAUGUUGUGGCAUAUAUGCUCGGUGGAAGAAGCUUCUGAUUUUGAUUUACAGGUGAUGCUGACAGGUCAAAGCUGUUUUGUUGGCUGCUGGCUUCAUGUGCUGUUAUAGUUCGCUACGGACAGUACAUAAGUUCCCUACAGCUACAAGUUUGGUGUACCAUAAUGUGUCAUGUAUUCAAUUUUGAGGUUUGGUAUUGAUUCAUUGAUCCCCUUUCCUAGGAUUCAUUAUUGGAAAUUGAUCUUGGGCUAUGGAACUAAGAUGAUCUACUCAAUAAGUUUUCUUACCACUAUAUCUUUUUUGUGUACUAAAUCACUGAUUAAUUACUACACUUAGCAAGAAACAAAGCUAGCGUUCGAGGGUGUGGAGGAGGUGAAACACAUGGGUCACCAUCACCCUUUCCCUCUAGAUCUGGUGCGUGUACUUUAACCUGGAUAUUCAGAGACGUCUUGAAAGGAAAACAAUUUGGACAUUAGUUGUAUAUUUGAUGAAGCUAUCUAAUUUGGACUUGAAAUUACAAUGUAAAAUUUCCUUUCAACUACUAAUUCAAUUUACAAAUUUUUGAACUUUACUUCUGCCACCAUAUGCUCCCAGUCAUCCCCGCCGCAUGUACGUCGCUGGUUCAUCCCGAUGCUUGUCAUCCUCAUCGUAACUGCCGUAGUUUGGCACCAGGCUACCUACCGGCGACGUUGCCCCGCAUGCCGUUGCCAGCUACUGCUCCUUACGG
RNAcentral lists this long non-coding RNA (911 nucleotides) under Triticum aestivum (bread wheat). RNAcentral's name for it is "long non-coding RNA (TAES_LNC008399)". The record is from RNAcentral. Lineage: Eukaryota; Viridiplantae; Streptophyta; Magnoliopsida; Poales; Poaceae.